RNAcentral lists this ribosomal RNA (253 nucleotides) under uncultured bacterium. Its description in RNAcentral is "partial 16S ribosomal RNA". It matches the Rfam family "Bacterial small subunit ribosomal RNA", at positions 524 to 776 of the family's 1533-position model. The record is from RNAcentral.
UACGGAGGGAGCUAGCGUUGUUCGGAAUUACUGGGCGUAAAGCGCACGUAGGCGGCUUUUUAAGUCAGGGGUGAAAUCCCGGGGCUCAACCCCGGAACUGCCCUUGAAACUGGAGAGCUAGAAUCUUGGAGAGGCGAGUGGAAUUCCGAGUGUAGAGGUGAAAUUCGUAGAUAUUCGGAAGAACACCGGUGGCGAAGGCGGCUCUCUGGACCGAGACUGACGCUGAGGCGCGAAAGCGUGGGGAGCAAACAGG